Uloborus diversus is the source of this 73-nucleotide non-coding RNA. The record is from the annotation of a RefSeq genome assembly. Lineage: Eukaryota; Metazoa; Arthropoda; Arachnida; Araneae; Uloboridae.
UCCCAUGUGGUCUAGUGGUCAGGACACCUGGUUAUAACCCAGGUAGCCCGGGUUCGAUCCCCCGGCGUGGGAA